Non-coding RNA from Caenorhabditis elegans, 21 nucleotides. Lineage: Eukaryota; Metazoa; Nematoda; Chromadorea; Rhabditida; Rhabditidae. The record is from Ensembl.
UAUUAUUACUUCUUCGCAAAA